This 425-nucleotide ribosomal RNA is filed under the name bacterium. RNAcentral describes it as "bacterial SSU rRNA". It matches the Rfam family "Bacterial small subunit ribosomal RNA", at positions 354 to 776 of the family's 1533-position model. The record is from RNAcentral. RNAcentral also lists the same sequence under 2 other names.
GUGAGGAAUAUUGGUCAAUGGACGAGAGUCUGAACCAGCCAAGUAGCGUGAAGGAUGACUGCCCUAUGGGUUGUAAACUUCUUUUAUAUGGGAAUAAAACAGGGUAUGCAUACCCUCUUGUAUGUACCAUAUGAAUAAGGAUCGGCUAACUCCGUGCCAGCAGCCGCGGUAAUACGGAGGAUCCGAGCGUUAUCCGGAUUUAUUGGGUUUAAAGGGAGCGUAGGUGGAUUGUUAAGUCAGUUGUGAAAGUUUGCGGCUCAACCGUAAAAUUGCAGUUGAAACUGGCAGUCUUGAGUACAGUAGAGGUGGGCGGAAUUCGUGGUGUAGCGGUGAAAUGCUUAGAUAUCACGAAGAACUCCGAUUGCGAAGGCAGCUCACUGGACUGCAACUGACACUGAUGCUCGAAAGUGUGGGUAUCAAACAGG